UGCGGUGUAGCUCUGCGGUAGAGAUCUUGCCUCGCAUGCACAAGGCCUUGGUUCCACCCCAGCACCGCAA
This 70-nucleotide transfer RNA is filed under the name Marmota marmota marmota (Alpine marmot). It matches the Rfam family "tRNA". Rfam says of the family: Transfer RNA (tRNA) molecules are approximately 80 nucleotides in length. Their secondary structure includes four short double-helical elements and three loops (D, anti-codon, and T loops). Further hydrogen bonds mediate the characteristic L-shaped molecular structure. tRNAs have two regions of fundamental functional importance: the anti-codon, which is responsible for specific mRNA codon recognition, and the 3' end, to which the tRNAs corresponding amino acid is attached (by aminoacyl-tRNA synthetases). tRNAs cope with the degeneracy of the genetic code in two manners: having more than one tRNA (with a specific anti-codon) for a particular amino acid; and 'wobble' base-pairing, i.e. permitting non-standard base-pairing at the 3rd anti-codon position. RNAcentral also lists the same sequence under 1 other name. Lineage: Eukaryota; Metazoa; Chordata; Mammalia; Rodentia; Sciuridae. The record is from Rfam by way of RNAcentral.